Molecule: long non-coding RNA, 5299 nt
Filed under: Nicotiana benthamiana
Lineage: Eukaryota; Viridiplantae; Streptophyta; Magnoliopsida; Solanales; Solanaceae
Description: long non-coding RNA (NBEN_LNC005712)
Source: RNAcentral
CAUAAGCCGCCUCUGAAUCCCCCUUCUCUAUCAAAUCCUCUAUACAACACUCCCAAACCCUAGCCGCCGCCACCCUAAUCCGCCUUAAUCCAUGGCCUUCCAAUGUCAUCAGAGACCUGUAUCAUCCCUUCCAUGGCUCCUUGUGUUGUCCUUAUGAUUUCAAGGCCAGAUUAUAAAGAACUCUGGCCCAGACUCCAUUCAAUUUUAGUUCAUGGCCUUUCUCUGGGCAUCUCUAACCUUUCUCCGGCCAGCCAUGGCCAUUCGAGUCAGACCUUUGACUCUUCUGGUUAGAUCGAUAACUGUCAAGGCCUUUCUCGUUACUUUUGGGUUCUUCAGAAACCCUAAUCUCUAAGGUUCUUUUGAUUUCUUUCAGAUUCGCUUUAGAUCUAUGCUUGCUUUGAACUUCUAAUAAUGUUUUCGAAGUUUCUUUAAAACUUUGCUUUCAAAACUCUUUAUCUUUUCUGAUUAGGGUUUUGCUGUUAAGUUAUUUCAAAUGUUUUCUCUGAUUUUUAUGUGUUUUUCUAUGUUUGCUUGUAUUAUUCUUCUAUCUGAGUUUUCAUGAUAAAACCCCUAAUUUCUUUUGGCUGUUUGUUAGACGAAUGCUUCUUUAGUUGAGGUUUUUUUUAUUUGCUUGUUUAUCAUCUUUUGAAACCCUAUAUCUUUGGGUCUGAGGUUUUUGUUUGAUUACCCGACUCGAUUCGAAGUUCUUCAUUUUAGAAUCUCCUUUCUCUUUAUGUGUUUUCUUUGAUUUUGGGUUCCUAUUAUCUCUAAAACUCGAUUAUGCUUGAAACCUUAAUUUUUCAAAAGGGGUUUUCCUCACCUGCUACUGUGAGAUCUUCGCAUGCUUUUAAUAUUUUAUGUUUUCUUCACUACUGAUUCAAUGUAACUUGACCUACUGGACUAUCAUACUUCGAAUGUUGCUAUCUACUGAAUUUUGUUCUACUAUUGCAUGCUAAUUCUUUUGCCAAUAGGUUUGGCCUCAUGUGUACAGUGUUCGUGCAUUCUAUUUAUUUGCUGAGGUUCCCUCUUUGAUUGAUCUUCAAUCUUGUGACUGAUUUCAAAUUGUUCUUUUGUAGAAUUCUGAUUUAACUCACCUGUUACGGUUAAAUGAUUCUUUUCCUUGUUUUGGCUCACUAAAUCAUAUUUUGAAAUAAAUGUAUUUCUGUACCUAGACUCGAUUUCUUACUCAAUGUUUUACUACUUCUUUUACGAAAACUGUCAAACUACUUAUAAAUUGAUUUCUUUUCUUAUUUUGAACCUGUCAGUGCCCGUUAAGCAAGUGAUCCCUUAAUUAAAGACAGUCACUUGUAUAAUUAAUUCUGAAUUGUGAUUGUUUCCAUGUUUGUAUCUUAUUACUUCUCUUUUACUCGUUUUCAAAAGCUAUAAAUACCUUGUACUUCUAUUUUUUCAAAACAUAUGAACACAAGGCUUAAAACACUUGAGUUCAGACACACACUCCAUUAAAUAUCUCUAGUUUCUUUGUUGCUACUUGUAUUGCUGACUUACCGGGCUGAGCUGAAAGCCAAGGCUAGGUGUGGGAAGCUUGCUUAUUUUUCUCUGUAUUUGUAUUUAACUGGUAUGUUCUAAUUAAGCUUCUGCACAAACAACAACGUGUUUCUUUUACUGUCUCUUUCAUCCUUGCUUGUCUCCUUUUUGUAUUUAACCAAGUUCCAUUAUUAAACAUGAUGUUAUCCGCCCUUUGCUGUUCUGAGUUAAUGCUUCGGUCCAUUACUUAUUAUGACUUGUGAAUCCUAAAUCCCUAUCCCUGAUGUGUUAGUAUCUGUGGUUGGAUUGGGGCAUGAUAGCAUUGGACAUUGCUGUGCAUGACCCAAACCUGAUCCUCCUUGGACCAUAACCUCCAUAUUUCCUCUAGAUGUUGUGUGUUCUGAUUGGUUUAUAGGCAUGUCAGCACAUUCUAUUACUGUGCAUGCCCAAAGUUGAUCCCUGCCAAAGUACAUGGGCUCGUUGUAAUGAAUUUCCAACCCCUGACCCCCUUUUGUAUGAAGUUAUUAGCUCUAUGUGUUACUAAUUACUGUCUCCCUAUCACUCUUUACCCCUCUCCUUUAUCCCCUCAGUUUUAAUACUCUGUUCCAGCACUUUUACUAUCCUCUUAGACUUAAGUUCUGUCCCUCUUGUGUGAGCCUUUCCUUAGGACUCAUGAGCUCCAUCUGAACUUGGACUCAUAAGGGUUGUGACUUCCACACUGCACUCAUCUCUAUUCUGGUUAUGUAACUUGGGUGUGAGCACUGCCUGGUAUCCUCUUGAGACCCUUAGGGAACUUUGACACACUCAAGUUUGGGAAAGUCUUUGAAUCAAUGGCAUUUGAUAUGGUUUAUUCCAUAACUGAGAGAGGAAGUCAAGAAUUAGGCUUCCUCUGGUUGUAACUUUUCUUUUGUACUUUUUUAUGUAAUUCAUUGUUUUUGGUUCGUAAUAAUUUUUAAUAAACACUCGGGGUUUGGCUAAUGGAAAAGGGAUGGGAAAUUAUAUAUGCUCAAGGGUAGAGAACAUGCCUAUAGGAUUUGUGUUAUGAAUGAUUCAAUUAUGCGUUUAGAAAUUAUGCCUAUAGGAUCUGCUGUUUAAAAUCCACAUGUUUUGGAGUUCUGCAUUUUAGAAAUCCUGCCUAUAGGAUCCGUUUGUUUAAAUUAGGCAUUUGCAAUUCUGCACGUUAGAUACCAUGCCUAUAAGACCCGCUUUCAUUAAAUUUUUAGAUGAAGCCUAUAGGACUUAUUCAAAAAUUCUGCACGUCAUUUCCACUUAGAUAUCAUGUUUUAGGAUCUAAAAGUCUAUAAUUAAGUGUCAUGUUCAUAAUGUUGAAAUUAGUAUGAUGUAUAGAAAUCAUGCCUAUAGGGCUUAAAUCAGCAAUAAUAGAUACCAUCGUCUGGAGAAUCUUAAGCUAGUCUAAUUUAAAAUCAGUCUAUUCUGAAUCGAUUAUGUAACCUAACUUCCUUAAUUAACGAGGUUUAGCAAGCAUGCCUAUUGGAUUUCAAAUUAUUCGUUUUAAGUUGUUACUAUUUCGCCACAUUCUGAAUUAAUUAGAUAUCAUGUCUAUUGGACCUCACCAAAAAACUUAGGCAAGCCUUACGAUAAUAACAAUAAAAUUGAAUCCGCUUUUGUUAAUUGCUACAACCAGCAGGUAGCCCUGAUUCAAAAUUCUUAUAUGAGUUAUGUAAUAAAAUGAUCUGCCUCAAUAAUUAAACUUCCCUCGUCUUUAGUAUUUUAAUCAGACCAAAAAAGUAUGUGCAAGUAAUGCUAUUUAUGUGUUUUGUGUGAUUAGGUAUACAUGAGCCUUUAUUUAUUUACAUGCUUCCCCUAACAUGUAGUAUUAUAUGUUUUGUAUGUCGCCUUAGAUUUUUACCUUUUCAAACUAAAAUCAGCCUAAUAUCCCUCCCCCCUUAGGAAUAGUAGUCCUAAACUCCUCCGGGACUGAUAGGAAUGGGGCAUGUAAUAGCAUGCAAUAGUGAUCAAGACCAAUCCGCGCUUUAAUACCUUAAUAGGGCGGGAAGGGUAGAUAUGGAUAUGAUGGCCGGUGCGCUAAUACCAUGUGUAUCCCUUCUUUUGGGGAGUGUAUUACCGGGUAUCGCAUGAUGUGAUCCAUAUUAAAUAUAAACCUAGGACCCUCCUUUAUUUUAUUUGCAAACUUAUUUUUUUAAAAAACUAUUCUUUUAAUUGUUAUUCUCUUAUGUGUUUAAGUUUAAAUCCCCUAAUAUUUGAGCCCAUACUUGUCUAUUUGCUAAACUUCACAAAUUCACAAUCAACUGUCUGGCUGAAAACCACACUAGUGGAUCUUGAGGGGUGCCUAACACCUUCACCUUAGGAUAAUUUCAAGCCCUUACCCAAUCUAUGAUUAUUCAAACAAAUUGAACCAUAUUGGUGUCCUAAUGCUCCUCAAAUCAUUGGGUGGCGACUCUUCAAAAUUGUAAAACCCCUUUCCAAAAAGGAAGAGGUUGUGCUAUGCCAAAUGUCAUAAACCCGAUCUCGCAAGAAAAAGGGGGAGCAACAACAUGACGACUCUGGUGAGGAUCUUUAUGAUUUUACCAUUUGAGAUUAUUAUUGUGAAUUUAUACCUCUUUAUGUGAAAUUACCUAUUUAAUUCCUUUAAGCAUUCAAUUCCCUUUUCAAUUAAAAAACUGACUUGUCUCCUUUGUUCCUUUCUUUUAUUACUGCAUUAAAUUAUGAAACUGUUGUAUCUACUUUCUUAACAUGCAAAUACGUGCCAACAUGCUUUUAAUUAUUGCAUAACUAUGCUCAACAUCAUACACCAGUCGUGACAAACAAAUACCAUAGCAAUGUUUAUAAUGAGUAGUUGCGCUCUUCCUGUAUUAUCACCUCUUAAAUUCGGAAAGGCAUAUUUGCGGUAAAGCCAGUCGAUCAGCGGUGCAGUCGACGAUUCCGUGCCUUUCCCCCUUGAGUUGCCCGCUCAAGGGUACCAGUCUAGAACCCCAUAGAAAUCUCAUUCUUUUCAAACUGUGCAUACAUCAUGGUCGAACCUAGCCAGGUCAGUUAUGUUAUACACAUAAUGACCCUUUAAAAUAACCUUAUCGAAAGUCCACUGGGUUUCCCUAAACCCAAACAGACGUCUCCACGUUCUGUGCAUUUAUUUGGAGAAUUAAAUGCUUCAUGCUAAUUGUUAGUAUUAAAUAGUCAAGUCUGGUGGGGGUAGGGUUUAACCCUUUUUUUUGCAGAAAAUGAAGCACGAGGUCCCCAGUUCGGUAUGACUAGCAGGAUCCCGCUCUUGCUAUACCAGUGGAGGAUUCUUCCAUCAAAUGACCAAAUCAAUGAGUGGAAAGAGAGGGCCGCCAAAGCUAGCGAAAGGUUGGAAUAUCUGGAAUACAGUCUGCUGGAAUUGGAAGGAAAAGUGAGGAAGAGAGUCGUUGACUACCAAAACGCUGAGGGAAAUUAAGGAGAACACUUGGCAAAGGCAUUUUUAUUGUAGAACCUACACAAACUGAAGGAUCUGAUCAAUGACAGCAUCUAACCCGAGGAAGGUCCAUAUGGGACCAAAUAGAUAAUAGUUUAUCUUUUCACUUUAUAAAUAUAAUAAGGCAAAGGGCCAUUAGUAAUUUUUCAUUUCCUGUUUACGUAGUGUCAAUUUUGGAUUCGUCUACAUUUUAUCAAUAAAAUGAGGCAUUUAGAACCCUAAGUUCUCCAAAUCAAUUUGUUUCUAGGCCUACCUCGGGCACAAAGAGGUCCCCAUAUCAGGACACGAUUUACAUUCUUGCACUAUGUGUUUAAAUAUUGUAACCCUUAUUGUAAUCCUCACUAACUUAUUGCCUUUUUUUACUUUUUUUUAUUAUUCCCC